This 253-nucleotide ribosomal RNA is filed under the name uncultured bacterium. Its description in RNAcentral is "partial 16S ribosomal RNA". It matches the Rfam family "Bacterial small subunit ribosomal RNA", at positions 524 to 776 of the family's 1533-position model. The record is from RNAcentral.
UACGUAGGGUGCAAGCGUUGUCCGGAAUUAUUGGGCGUAAAGAGCUCGUAGGCGGUUCGUCGCGUCGGCUGUGAAAUCCCGAGGCUCAACCUCGGGUCUGCAGUCGAUACGGGUGGACUUGAGUUCGGCAGGGGAGACUGGAAUUCCUGGUGUAGCGGUGAAAUGCGCAGAUAUCAGGAGGAACACCGGUGGCGAAGGCGGGUCUCUGGGCCGAAACUGACGCUGAGGAGCGAAAGCGUGGGGAGCGAACAGG